UGGGGAAUAUUGGACACUGGGCGAAAGCCUGAUCCAGCCAUGCCGCGUGUGUGAAGAAGGUCUUCGGAUUGUAAAGCACUUUAAGUUGGGAGGAAGGGCAGUAAGCGAAUACCUUGCUGUUUUGACGUUACCGACAGAAUAAGCACCGGCUAACUCUGUGCCAGCAGCCGCGGUAAUACAGAGGGUGCAAGCGUUAAUCGGAAUUACUGGGCGUAAAGCGCGCGUAGGUGGUUCGUUAAGUUGAAUGUGAAAGCCCCGGGCUCAACCUGGGAACUGCAUCCAAAACUGGCGAGCUUGAGUAGGGCAGAGGGUGGUGGAAUUUCCUGUGUAGCGGUGAAAUGCGUAGGUAUAGGAAGGAACACCAGUGGCGAAGGCGACCACCUGGGCUCAUACUGACACUGAGGUGCGAAAGCGUGGGGAGCAAACAGG
This 429-nucleotide ribosomal RNA is filed under the name Pseudomonadota bacterium. Its description in RNAcentral is "Proteobacteria bacterium partial 16S ribosomal RNA". It matches the Rfam family "Bacterial small subunit ribosomal RNA", at positions 355 to 776 of the family's 1533-position model. Lineage: Bacteria; Pseudomonadati; Pseudomonadota. The record is from RNAcentral.